This 76-nucleotide transfer RNA is filed under the name Sulfuricaulis sp. Its description in RNAcentral is "tRNA-Thr". It matches the Rfam family "tRNA". Rfam says of the family: Transfer RNA (tRNA) molecules are approximately 80 nucleotides in length. Their secondary structure includes four short double-helical elements and three loops (D, anti-codon, and T loops). Further hydrogen bonds mediate the characteristic L-shaped molecular structure. tRNAs have two regions of fundamental functional importance: the anti-codon, which is responsible for specific mRNA codon recognition, and the 3' end, to which the tRNAs corresponding amino acid is attached (by aminoacyl-tRNA synthetases). tRNAs cope with the degeneracy of the genetic code in two manners: having more than one tRNA (with a specific anti-codon) for a particular amino acid; and 'wobble' base-pairing, i.e. permitting non-standard base-pairing at the 3rd anti-codon position. The record is from RNAcentral. Lineage: Bacteria; Pseudomonadati; Pseudomonadota; Gammaproteobacteria; Acidiferrobacterales; Acidiferrobacteraceae.
GCCGGGUUAGCUCAGAUGGUAGAGCAGCGCAUUCGUAAUGCGACGGUCGAGGGUUCAAUUCCUUUACCCGGCACCA